UAUUGAUUAUUUUUCUGGCCUGCUUUC
This 27-nucleotide non-coding RNA is filed under the name Mus musculus (house mouse). Lineage: Eukaryota; Metazoa; Chordata; Mammalia; Rodentia; Muridae. The record is from RNAcentral.